Molecule: long non-coding RNA, 383 nt
Filed under: Mytilus galloprovincialis (Mediterranean mussel)
Lineage: Eukaryota; Metazoa; Mollusca; Bivalvia; Mytilida; Mytilidae
Source: RNAcentral
AUAGAUAUAAGAAGAUGUAGUAUGAGUGCCAAUGAGACAACUCUCCAUCCAUGUCACAAUUUGUAAAUUUUAAACAAUUAUAAUUCAAAGUACAGUCUUAAAAAUGGAGCAUUGGCUCACACCGAACAGCAAGAUCUAAAGGGCCCCAACAAUGACUAGUGUUAAACCAUUCAAACAGAACAAUGAAAAUAAAAUGAGAAAUGAGAAACACUUAUGAACCACAUCAACAAAUGACAACCACUAAACUUCAGGUUCCUAACCUCACAUUCUUAAAUCUUUAAUAAUGUUUAAGUUAUGAGAUACUUCAAGUAUCAUACUUGUAGUAAAACUAUAUCUUUAGGAUUAUCAAGGUAAAAUAAAAUUUGAAAAAAGUAAUACAGGCC